AGAAGAUUAGGUUAAUGGUAGACCAAGAGCCUUCAAAGUUUUAAGUGUUGGUUCAAUUCCAGCAUCUUCUG
Molecule: transfer RNA, 71 nt
Filed under: Cliona patera
Lineage: Eukaryota; Metazoa; Porifera; Demospongiae; Clionaida; Clionaidae
Description: tRNA-Trp
Rfam family: tRNA
About the family: Transfer RNA (tRNA) molecules are approximately 80 nucleotides in length.
Source: RNAcentral